GGAGCUAUGACUCAGCAUGGGAGGAGGACUGGAGGCAGAGAAACCAGCAGGAUCAGAUGUGAGGAUAGAGAUGGAGCAAUCUUCUUGUGAUCAUGAGGAUGAGAACUACAUGCAAAGAAUGGCAGAGGGGACAAGGCACUCUGGACACUGCGGGAACGAAUGAACCAAACCUGGGCUCCCUAUCCCCGGGCUUGGAAAAGCGGAUUGAGUUUCCUAAUCAAAUCAAGGACCUCAUAUGCAAAUUGGUCAAAUAUGCCGUUCACUUGAGUAGCUGCAAAAUAAAGGCAGAUGUGUGUAGGUCAGAG
RNAcentral lists this long non-coding RNA (305 nucleotides) under Cavia porcellus (domestic guinea pig). RNAcentral's name for it is "lncRNA (ENSCPOG00000035376.1)". Lineage: Eukaryota; Metazoa; Chordata; Mammalia; Rodentia; Caviidae. The record is from RNAcentral.